GACGAACGCUGGCGGCGUGCUUAAUACAUGCAAGUCGAGCGGUGAACCCGACUGAAAGCCUUCGGGCUUGACGUUGGGGGAUCAGCGGCGGAUGGGUGAGUAACGCGUGGGUACCUGCCCUAAAGUCUGGGAUAACAACUCGAAAGGGUUGCUAAUACCGGAUGUGACCGAGAGGUUAAAGGCAGAGAUGUCGCUUUAGGAUGGGCCCGCGUCCCAUUAGCUAGUUGGUGAGGUAAGGGCUCACCAAGGCUGCGAUGGGUAGCCGGCCUGAGAGGGUGGACGGCCACACUGGGACUGAGACACGGCCCAGACUCCUACGGGAGGCAGCAGUAGGGAAUUUUCCGCAAUGGACGGAAGUCUGACGGAGCGACGCCGCGUGGGGGAAGAAGGCCUUCGGUUGUAACCGUACUGUCUUCAGGGACGAAGAGGGUGUGGGAGACGACACCGAAGCCGGUACCGUCGAGGAGGAAGCCCCGGCUAACUACGUGCCAGCAGCCGCGGUAACGUGAGUAGUACGA
This 518-nucleotide ribosomal RNA is filed under the name uncultured bacterium. RNAcentral describes it as "bacterial SSU rRNA". It matches the Rfam family "Bacterial small subunit ribosomal RNA", at positions 28 to 537 of the family's 1533-position model. The record is from RNAcentral.